RNAcentral lists this long non-coding RNA (571 nucleotides) under Capsicum annuum. Its description in RNAcentral is "long non-coding RNA (CANN_LNC016299)". The record is from RNAcentral. Lineage: Eukaryota; Viridiplantae; Streptophyta; Magnoliopsida; Solanales; Solanaceae.
UAUUUAUGUUGUAUUGUAUUUCCAUAUUAUCUAUUCAUCUAUGUAUUUGUCCUUUCUUCCUUUAUUUUUAUUUGAUGAUCUAGUAUAUAUAUCUUUUCCCUUGUUCUACUUAUAUGUGAUAUAAUUCAUACUUGUGUUCUAUCUUGGUGUGUUGUUGCAAUGUAUAUAAUAUAUAGAAUUGUUAGUGAAAGCUGUAUGGGCUACCGUUGUGGGACUUUUUUUGAUUGCAGGUGACGUGCCCUUAUUGUGAAUUAUGCUUUAUUUUCUACUUUGCUCGAUCGGCCUAUGGUACCUUUAUGAUUACAAGUGGAUAGUACUCACUCCAACUUCAACCUUUCGGUGUAGCUUUAGGUUCAGGUGUACCUCAGAUUGGUUGAUUUUGGGCGCCUUCAGAUAUUUCAAGGUAGCGAUUGUACAUUCAUAUGUCUAAAGUUCACCUCUAUUUGUUUGUAUUAGUUAUGUCUUUAUUAGUAUUCUGUGACAAAUAUUAUUCAUUUGUGGUUAUUUUUUGAUUUAUUUAACUCAUGUUUGCAUUAGUAGUUUUUAUACAGUUGACACUAGGUUUUGGGAG